UUAAGUGACGAUAGCCUAGGGGAUACACCUGUUUCCAUGCCGAACACAGCCGUUAAGCCCUAGCGCGCCUGAAGUAGUGGGAGGCUGCCUCCUGUGAGAUAGGGGCGUUGCUUAGC
Streptococcus macacae NCTC 11558 is the source of this 116-nucleotide non-coding RNA. The record is from Rfam. NCBI's taxonomy places the organism in Bacteria, Bacillati, Bacillota, Bacilli, Lactobacillales, Streptococcaceae.